CAAGAGACCUGUGCUCUGGUUAGCGGAGCCCCGGUGCCUUACGACAGGUGUGCUGGGUUACGCUACACCUGCCCCGUGGAUGCCAAGGGCACUGGGUCGGGGUCACCUGAUUCUGCGGGUUUAGGCAGAGGCGGCGCGGCGGCCUCUGCCUCACGUGAUCCGACUCGGGCAGCGUCGAGCGCGUCACCCUACGCCCCGCGCACUCGCUCGGUCAAGGUCUGCGCCUGCGCGGCCGCUGCUCGCCGGCUCGCCGACCUGCGGGCUGGCGGCUACCGGGCGCGGACCCGGGCGCGCAGCCGGGUGCCCGCUGCUAUGGGAACUGCAGUAUAAAAAUUGACUGUGGAGGAAAGAACCUAACAGACCAGUAACAAUGGAAGAAAUUGAGAAAGUUAUCAAAAAGCUACCAUCCCCCAAAACACCAGGCCCAGAUGGUGUUACAGGUGAAGUCCUUUAACUUGAAGGAAAAGGUAAUUUUGAUAAGGUUUAAAUUUUACACCCGCCUUGGGAAGGAAAAGUGACAGAUUGUUUUUACAGAGCUAAUGGAACAUGGACGCCUGAACUUGGUAUGAGAUAGUAAUAAAAUUAAAAAUUUGGUAUGUUCUAGUGAUGUG
This 611-nucleotide long non-coding RNA is filed under the name Neogale vison (American mink). RNAcentral's name for it is "Neovison vison (American mink) lncRNA (ENSNVIG00000015796.1)". The record is from RNAcentral. Lineage: Eukaryota; Metazoa; Chordata; Mammalia; Carnivora; Mustelidae.